AUGCACCGAACUGAACUAUCUGAACAUCCACAAGAUGCUCCAGCAGCCAUAAGUGGGAACGCUUCAAGAUGCUUAAACAUCGCAACAACACAUGUAUUAACUACUCCCUCCGUCCGGGAAAAGUUGUCCCCAACGACAUUUUGUGAAAAUCACCUCCCCUUUCUUCCGACAAACUACGCAGCCCUCCCUCCGUCUGCUUCUCUGCUCCGUCGCCUCGCCACGCGCCGGCCGCCUGCUCCGUCGCCUCGCCGCAUGUCGGCCGCCUUCUCCCCCUCGUCUCGCCGCUUCUCUCCGUCCGCACUAGAAGAUCAAGAGGGAAGGGAUCCCCUUUUCUGUAAAGCUCGCGCCUUGCCGGCUCCGUCGGCGGCGCUCGAUGACCCGCUCCUCGUCCUCGAUCUCCUCAUCCUCGAGCACCUCCUCCAGACCCCCAGCUCCGGCAGCGGCGCUCGAUGA
Molecule: ribosomal RNA, 453 nt
Filed under: Triticum aestivum (bread wheat)
Lineage: Eukaryota; Viridiplantae; Streptophyta; Magnoliopsida; Poales; Poaceae
Description: partial small subunit ribosomal RNA
Source: RNAcentral